CCUACGGGGGGCAGCAGUAAGGAAUAUUGGACAAUGGGCGCAAGCCUGAUCCAGCCAUGCCGCGUGAAGGAUGAAUGCCCUAUGGGUUGUAAACUUCUUUUAGCAGGGAAAAAACCCCUCGAUGCGUCGGGGGCUGAUGGUACCUGCGGAAUAAGGAUCGGCUAACUCCGUGCCAGCAGCCGCGGUAAUACGGAGGAUCCAAGCGUUAUCCGGAUUUAUUGGGUUUAAAGGGUGCGUAGGCGGAUGAAUAAGUCAGUGGUGAAAGCCUGCAGCUCAACUGCAGAACUGCCAUUGAUACUGUUUAUCUUGAAUAUGGUUGAGGUGGGCGGAAUAUGACAUGUAGUGGUGAAAUACUUAGAUAUGUCAUAGAACACCGAUUGCGAAGGCAGCUCGCUAAGCCAUUAUUGACGCUGAGGCACGAAAGCGUGGGGAGCAAACAGGAUUAGAUACCCUUGUAGUC
This 460-nucleotide ribosomal RNA is filed under the name uncultured bacterium. RNAcentral's name for it is "bacterial SSU rRNA". It matches the Rfam family "Bacterial small subunit ribosomal RNA", at positions 338 to 795 of the family's 1533-position model. The record is from RNAcentral.